This 255-nucleotide ribosomal RNA is filed under the name Gephyrocapsa oceanica. RNAcentral describes it as "partial Eukaryotic large subunit ribosomal RNA". It matches the Rfam family "Eukaryotic large subunit ribosomal RNA", at positions 660 to 929 of the family's 3401-position model. The record is from RNAcentral. Lineage: Eukaryota; Haptophyta; Isochrysidales; Noelaerhabdaceae.
CACGGACCAAGGAGUCUAACAUAUGUGCGAGUUCACGGGUGUUAAACCUGAAUGCGCAAUGAAAGUGACUGCUGGGAUUUUUGCACCAGCAACCGACCAAUCAAUUGUGAGAGGUUUGAGUAUGAGCAUAUCUGUUAGGACCCGAAAGAUGGUGAACUAUGCCUGAGAAGGGUGAAGUCAGGGGAAACCCUGAUGGAGGCUCGUAGCGGUACUGACGUGCAAAUCGUUCGUCAAACUUGGGUAUAGGGGCGAAAG